Molecule: long non-coding RNA, 1033 nt
Organism: Cornus florida
Lineage: Eukaryota; Viridiplantae; Streptophyta; Magnoliopsida; Cornales; Cornaceae
Exons: 2
Source: RefSeq, a predicted model, not a curated record
UACAUGCUUCUUUAUUUUUUCUCAUAAAUUGAAAUAUAAAAAACAGGAACAAUAGGCCCUGCUUGGAAUUGAACUCCCAAAACAGUUUUCUGUUUUGGGAGUUGCACAAAACAGAAAACACUUGUUUCAAUCCUGCUUGGGCCUACUUUUGGAAAACAGUUUUUAUAAAAUUGUGUUUUCUUAGUGUUGGUUUUUAGAGAACAGCUUGGGGUAGUUUUCAGAAUUUUGCAGCAUUGUUUGAGGACUCAAAAGAAAACACGGAGAACACUUUCUCCACUUAAAAACUGAUGCUACCAUCGCAUCGUUUAUAACGCAGCAUCCAUCUUCUCUCUCUUCAACCUCUCUGCAAUUCAUCUUCUCUCUCUUCUACCUCUCUGCCUGAUCUAGUUUAUAACACAAGCUCUGCAACGCAUCCAUCUUCUCUCUCUUCAACCUCUCUGCAACCCAUCUUCUCUCUCUUAAACUUCUGUCUCUUCAACAUCUCUACAACUAAGAGAAGGUAGAUCUAGCUCUUGAAGAUCGUUAUUUACACAAAGAGAAGGGUGGAUCUGGUUCUUCAAGCUCUCUUUCUUCAGGAAACGCUUGUUGCACAAUUCAUAAUUUUAUUAGUCAAAAUGCACUAGUUGGUUGUUUUUUUAUGAAGUAUGGAGAAGAAGAUGAUAUUGUUAGUGAGGGGAAUGCUAGCACGAGUCAAGGACCGAAUGCAGUAAACUUCUAUGAAGCAAAGUCUCAUGGGAUAGAAUCACAUACCUUUACAAGUGAUGUUCAUCCAAUUUGAUCUAGAUGAUGUUUAUUGAAAUAGAAUCACAUAUUUCAUUUUUUUCCAUGUCUUUUAAGUUUAGAUGAGAAGUGAGAUGGUUUAUGUAUGUAGACAUUGAAUUCAUGUUAUGUUAUGAAUGAAAGAAACCCAUAAUACCAGAGCAGUUCUUUGCUACACAAUUCCUGUGAUGAGAUGGUUUAUGUAUGUAGACAUUGAAUUCAUGUAAUCUUAUGCAUGAAAGAACCCUAUAAUAUAAGUCUUUUUUCAUUUUUA